RNAcentral lists this ribosomal RNA (471 nucleotides) under uncultured bacterium. RNAcentral's name for it is "bacterial SSU rRNA". It matches the Rfam family "Bacterial small subunit ribosomal RNA", at positions 29 to 536 of the family's 1533-position model. The record is from RNAcentral.
AAUGAACGCUGGCGGCAUGCCUAACACAUGCAAGUCGAACGGUAACACGUCUUCGGAUGGUGACGAGUGGCGCACGGGUGAGUAACGCAUAGGGAUAUACCUUACACUGGGGGAUAACUGCUGGAAACAGUAGCUAAUACCGCAUACGCCAUAUUGGGAAAGCUCCGGCGGUGUAAGAUUAGCCUAUGUUUGAUUAGCUAGUUGGUGAGGUAAAGGCUCACCAAGGCGACGAUCAAUAGCGGGUCUGAGAGGAUGACCCGCCACACUGGUACUGAGACACGGACCAGACUCCUACGGGAGGCAGCAGUGGGGAAUAUUGCGCAAUGGAGGCAACUCUGACGCAGCAAUGCCGCGUGAAUGAUGAAGGUUUUAGGACUGUAAAGUUCUUUCAGUGGGGAAGAUAGUGACGGUACCCACAGAAGAAGUCCCGGCUAACUCCGUGCCAGCAGCCGCGGUAAGACACGCGAGACG